CAGUAGCUCAGUGGUACAGCAUCUGCUUUGCAUGCAGACGGUCCCUGGUUCAAUCCCUGACAUCUCGG
This 68-nucleotide transfer RNA is filed under the name Podarcis lilfordi (Lilford's wall lizard). RNAcentral's name for it is "tRNA.Ala". The stretch from base 3 to 61 matches the Rfam family "tRNA", at positions 7 to 64 of the family's 71-position model. From Rfam's summary of the family: Transfer RNA (tRNA) molecules are approximately 80 nucleotides in length. Their secondary structure includes four short double-helical elements and three loops (D, anti-codon, and T loops). Lineage: Eukaryota; Metazoa; Chordata; Lepidosauria; Squamata; Lacertidae. The record is from RNAcentral.